AUUGGGGUAAGCAUGUGGGUUGCUAAAUUGGUCAGGCCCGGAAGGAAGCAGCCGGAGUGAUUCGCUGCUGUACCCCUUUAAA
RNAcentral lists this signal recognition particle RNA (82 nucleotides) under Candidatus Babelota bacterium. RNAcentral describes it as "signal recognition particle sRNA small type". It matches the Rfam family "Bacterial small signal recognition particle RNA". From Rfam's summary of the family: The signal recognition particle (SRP) is a universally conserved ribonucleoprotein involved in the co-translational targeting of proteins to membranes. Archaeal SRP consists of a 7S RNA and homologues of the eukaryotic SRP19 and SRP54 proteins. In most bacteria, the SRP consists of a 4.5S RNA and the Ffh protein (a homologue of the eukaryotic SRP54 protein). The record is from RNAcentral.